RNAcentral lists this long non-coding RNA (1167 nucleotides) under Cricetulus griseus (Chinese hamster). RNAcentral's name for it is "lncRNA (ENSCGRG00015005529.2)". Lineage: Eukaryota; Metazoa; Chordata; Mammalia; Rodentia; Cricetidae. The record is from RNAcentral.
CUGGAAAUCUUUCUGCCCUACAGCUGCUCUGAAGAGUAAGUUAAUGACAUAUGAACAAACCCUUACAUGCCUCAGGAGCCCUGUUAGAACUGUGAAUUGCAAACAGUAUUUGCAAGUGAGCUGGCUGGGCUCUGUGCCUGUUUUCUGGAAGGCAGUACACCCCUGAAGUCCAGCUCCAGGCUCCCCUGGAGGGCCUCUGGCUGUCACCCACGAUGCAGGAAGAAGUGGCUCUGAAAAUCUUAAUCUUGUGUUUUGUUUUGUUUUGUUUUUUUCCGAGAAGUAAGAGGAAGAUCUGAAAUAGGCCUGGCAGCUUGAUUGGGGUUGGCUGAUUCUGCCAACAAUAUGUAAAAUGUGUUUUUCAAGGAUAAGAAGUUUGGGCCCUAGACAAACAAAGCUCCUGUCUGCCAUCAGCAAGAAGAUACAAGAUCUCUGUGACCCCACUAUGCUGUUUACCUUUGUUCUUAAACAGGAGUCUGCCUUCCGCAGACCCAGGGCUGCUCUCCCUUUAACAGAACCCCAUUGCCUGCUGGGUGUGACCAUGCCAACCUCCAGUGAGGUGAGACUCCACAAGGCUUCCAUUCUUGGCAGCUAAGCUUUCAUUGUUGCUUAAGAGAACCUUGUAAUGAGGAAUAUAGCUGAUGUUCAAGAAAUGUGUGAUGAAAGAGUGAAAGAAUUCCAGACACUGAUGUUGCAGGGACCACUUGCCAGACUCUGGGCAAAGGACAAGGGAGAGCCAGCUGCCUUGCACAUCUUGUGGCACAAGGAGCACUCCAAUUCUGGAACAUGCACUGCUCAGUCACUCUAGGACAUUAAACCAGAGGCUUUGAAUUUCCAUCCCAGUUAUGACCCAGCACUUCAGCAUACUCUGAGGAACAUCGGACAAGCCAACAAACUCUCACCCCCAGGGCUGUAUUGACUCAUCCCCAGGGCUGAAGAGUUCACAUCCAAACUCAGAAAGUCUGGAUUCUGGAGUUGCAGAGAUCCCAAAAGGCUUCUGGGGGCAACUGAAAGCUAGAAUGUCACUCUGGCUUUAUCCCCUUCCUAUUCCUGAGGCUGUAUGGCCACUGGGGACACCAGUUAAAACACACAGCAAGCAGAAUCUGCCCACUGGGUUUUCAGGGAAAUAAAUCCAAAGCUUUCACUGCUUCAGAAGUAGUUUAUUAGGCA